This is a non-coding RNA of Meloidogyne enterolobii, 74 nucleotides long. The record is from the annotation of a GenBank genome assembly. NCBI's taxonomy places the organism in Eukaryota, Metazoa, Nematoda, Chromadorea, Rhabditida, Meloidogynidae.
AGUCAUGUAGCUAAGGUGGAAAAGCUUUUGACUUGUGUUCAAGGGGUAGCAGGUUCGAACCCUCCCCGGGCCCA